This 672-nucleotide ribosomal RNA is filed under the name uncultured metazoan. RNAcentral's name for it is "SSU rRNA". It matches the Rfam family "Eukaryotic small subunit ribosomal RNA", at positions 582 to 1257 of the family's 1831-position model. Lineage: Eukaryota; Metazoa. The record is from RNAcentral.
AUUCCAGCUCCAAUAGCGGAUAUUAAUGCUGCUGCAGUUAAAAAGCUCGUAGUCGUAUCUAGGGCAUGGGCGGAGGGUCCCUCGUAAGGGGUGCACUCUGCGUUCCAUCCUCCCUCGCGGCUUGUCGCCCGGUUCUCUUAACUGAGUGCCGGGUGCGGCCGGAACGUUUACUUUGAAAAAAUUGGAGUGUUCAAAGCAGGCGUAGCAGCCUGAACAGUAGAGCAUGGAAUAAUGGAAUAGGACCUCGGUUCUAUUGCGUUGGUUUUAAGAGUCCGAGGUAAUGAUUGAGAGGGACUGACGGGGGCAUUCGUAUUGCGGUGUGAGAGGUGAAAUUCUUGGAUCGCCGCAAGAGACCGGUAGCGAAAGCGUUUGCCAAGAAUGUCUUUAUUGAUCAAGAACGAGAGUUAGAGGUUCGAAGGCGAUCAGAUACCGCCCUAGUUCUAACCAUAAACUAUGCCGACCGGCGAUUCGCCGGCGUUAUAUCAAUGACACGGCAAGCAGCUUCCGGGAAACCAAAGUUUUUGGGUUCCGGGGGAAGUAUGGUUGCAAAGCUGAAACUUAAAGGAAUUGACGGAAGGGCACCACCAGGAGUGGAGCCUGCGGCUUAAUUUGACUCAACACGGGAAAACUCACCCGGCCCGGACACCAGAAGGAUUGACAGAUUGAUAGCUC